RNAcentral lists this small nuclear RNA (315 nucleotides) under Erinaceus europaeus (western European hedgehog). RNAcentral's name for it is "7SK RNA (ENSEEUG00000018656.1)". It matches the Rfam family "7SK RNA". From Rfam's summary of the family: 7SK was discovered as an abundant small nuclear RNA in the mid-70s but a possible function has only recently been suggested. Two independent studies have found that 7SK RNA binds the CDK9/cyclin T complex (known as elongation factor P-TEFb). The record is from RNAcentral. Lineage: Eukaryota; Metazoa; Chordata; Mammalia; Eulipotyphla; Erinaceidae.
GGAUGUGAAGGCGAUCAGGCUGCCACAUCUGUCACCCCACUGAUCGCCAGGGUAGAUUCGGCUGAUCUGGCUGGCUAGGCGGUGUCCCCUUCCUUCCUCACCGCUCCAUGUGUGUCCCUCCCGAAGCUGCGCACUCCAUGAAAGAGGAAGGCCUUCCCCAAUAGAGACUGACCGGUCUUCGGUCAAGGGUAUAAGAGUAGCUGCGCUCCCCUGCUAGAACCUCCAGGCAAGCUCUCAAGGUCAUGCUGUUGUCAAAAACUGAGGGAAAUAUCACAGAGUCAACUGCAAAGAUAAGCUAAAAAUGUAGGUUAGUCU